GCACUCCACUAAUGUGAAACGCUCAAUUGUUAGAGACAAAUACUUAUACCUCUAAAUCUUUUGAACAGAUUUCUAUUAAUCUAUAUGCUUGAGAAAGAUAUGGAUAGGGUCUCAAGAAAAGAACAUCUGAAUAAUAAAGCUUUGAAGUUUUAAACUUCUUAAACCCUAUAUUCAUUUUUUUCAGAAACUCUUUCCAAAUUCUUUUCUUAACCACUUUAUUUUUAGUGCUUCAGAUAUCACAAAUAAAGCUAAUACGCUUUCAAAGUUAAUGCUUUUAGUUUACUUUUCAAUAAAGAAACAAGGCUCGUAUUGCUUGAUGUCACCUAUUAGAGUAUUAGUGCUUACGGUGGUUAAACCAACGUUUUGAUCUUUAUUGGCCUCUAAUAAACAGAUGCAAUUAUUGUCAUAGUUGUAACCCUUCAUUACUUCAACAAUAAAAUAGGCAUCUUGUUUAAUCACAAUUGCAUUAACUUGUAAAGUGCUAGCUUCUUGGGCAAACACUUGCAAGUUUUCAAAAUACAGCAAUAAUUGUCCCGCAAAGUUAAUAAAGGCUUGCUUUCAAAUGGUAUUGUUAUCUAUUUGU
Molecule: small RNA, 583 nt
Filed under: Mycoplasmoides pneumoniae M129
Lineage: Bacteria; Bacillati; Mycoplasmatota; Mycoplasmoidales; Mycoplasmoidaceae
Description: Mycoplasma pneumoniae M129 ncRNA
Source: RNAcentral